This 471-nucleotide ribosomal RNA is filed under the name uncultured bacterium. RNAcentral's name for it is "bacterial SSU rRNA". It matches the Rfam family "Bacterial small subunit ribosomal RNA", at positions 29 to 504 of the family's 1533-position model. The record is from RNAcentral.
AACGAACGCUGGUGGAGUGUCUUAUACAUGCAAGUUUUAGCGAGGACGUAGCAAUACGAGCCGAGCGGCGAAUGGGUGAGUAACGCGUAAGCAAUCUGCCCCGCAUUCCGGAACAACCGUGCCAACGCGCGGCUAAUGCCGGGAGCCGUGGCGGUCCACAUGGGCCGUUGACGAAAGAUUUAUCGAUGCGGGAUGAGCUUGCGUCCGAUUAGCUAGUUGGCGGGGCAACGGCCCACCAAGGCGACGAUCGGUAGCCGGCCUGAGAGGGCGAUCGGCCACAUUGGGACUGAGAGACGGCCCAGACUCCUACGGGAGGCAGCAGUAGGGAAUAUUGCGCAAUGGGGGCAACCCUGACGCAGCAACUCCACGUGUGGGAUGAAGCAUUUCGGUGUGUAAACCACUGUCGAGAGGGAAUAAUGCGAUUCUUCGGGAUCGUUGAAUGUACCUUUAAAGGGAGCACCGGCAAACUUC